CACCAGCAUGUAGAACUUCUCAAAGUCGAUCUCGCCCACAGCGUUCCAGUCCAGCAUGUCAAACACAAUGUUGAUCUGUGCCUUUUUCAAGUCAGUCACAUGAUGAAGGAAGUGAUAGAACAGCACAUCUGUUAAGGUGGGCAGUUCCUGAAACCUUCGUCGCCCUUGAGCUUGUGGAAAAGCACUGGACCUGGAGUUGUGGAGAAUGAGAUCGUGGACAGGGCUUGGCUC
RNAcentral lists this long non-coding RNA (231 nucleotides) under Homo sapiens (human). RNAcentral describes it as "HSALNT0097798". Lineage: Eukaryota; Metazoa; Chordata; Mammalia; Primates; Hominidae. The record is from RNAcentral.